This 520-nucleotide ribosomal RNA is filed under the name uncultured bacterium. RNAcentral describes it as "bacterial SSU rRNA". It matches the Rfam family "Archaeal small subunit ribosomal RNA", at positions 345 to 866 of the family's 1478-position model. The record is from RNAcentral.
AACCUCCGCAAUGUGAGAAAUCGCGACGGGGGGAUCCCAAGUGCCAUUCUUAACGGGAUGGCUUUUCAUUAGUGUAAAGAGCUUUUGGAAUAAGAGCUGGGCAAGACCGGUGCCAGCCGCCGCGGUAACACCGGCAGCUCUAGUGGUAACAAUUUUUAUUGGGCCUAAAGCGUCCGUAGCCGGUUUAAUAAGUCUCUGGUGAAAUCCUGUAGCUUAACUGUGGGAAUUGCUGGAGAUACUAUUAGACUUGAGACCGGGAGAGGUUAGAGGUACUCCCAGGGUAGAGGUGAAAUUCUGUAAUCCUGGGAGGACCGCCUGUUGCGAAGGCGUCUAACUGGAACGGUUCUGACGGUGAGGGACGAAAGUUAGGGGCGCGAACCGGAUUAGAUACCCGGGUAGUCCUAACUGUAAACGAUGCGGACUUGGUGUUGGGGUGGCUUUGAGCUGCUCCAGUGCCGAAGGGAAGCUGUUAAGUCCGCCGCCUGGGAGUACGGUCGCAAGACUGAAACUUAAAGGAAUU